Molecule: long non-coding RNA, 1473 nt
Organism: Felis catus (domestic cat)
Lineage: Eukaryota; Metazoa; Chordata; Mammalia; Carnivora; Felidae
Exons: 2
Source: RefSeq, a predicted model, not a curated record
CAGCACAGAGCCUGAUGCAGGGCUUGAACUCACGAGCUGUGAGAUCAUGACCUGAGCUGAAGUCAGAUGCUCAACCGACUAAGCCACCCAAGCGUCCCAUAGACAUGUAUUUUUAAGAAGUUAAAAGUUCAUAUUGCUCAAAGCCAGACUGAGAACCAAAAUCUGAGCUACAGAUUAAUGAGUCUUGGGGCCAAAUCUGGCCUGCCAUUGUGUUUUAUCCUGCACAGCCUGAGACUGGACGGCAUUAGGCCCACUGCCAGUGCUUGCUACUUUCUGCUGGUCAACGUGCAAAUUUAAGAGGUUGCAUAUAUGCACAAAAAGUCUGUCUGCCCUUGAAAAAUUAGGAGAUUGGGGAACAUUGGGGCCACAUGGUUAAUUGGUUGAGGAAGAAUAGUAGCUGCACAUUUAUUUUUUAUUUUAUUUUUUAAACUUUUAAAAAAUGUUUAUAAUUUAUUUAUUAGUAUAAUUUAUUGUCAAAUUGGCUAACGUACAGUGUGUAAAGUGUGCUCUUGGUUUUUGGGGUACAUUCCCAUGGUUCAUUGCUUACAUACAACACCCAGUGCUCAACCCAGUGAGUGCCCUCCUCAAUGUGGCUGCACAUUUAAAACAAGGUUAUGUAUGUACUUUUCAGUUUGUCACAGUAUUCACCAACUCCUAGCAUCUUCUUGAUUCUGAGGCUUCAUGCCAGUGUGAUGGCCCUGUUGUAAUUUUUCUAAUAGAAAUGGAGAGAUGAUGAAAAUGGAUUUCUCCAUCUCCAAAUUAAUUUUAUCUCAAAUUAAACUCAGAGAUUUAUUUUUAUUAUAAAAUUGCCUCUUAUUAUUAAAUCAUGGUUGCAUACACAUAGCACCAGAAAAAGCAACAUAUUGCAAAAUUAGGAAAGCAUUGUUUAGAGAAAUUAAAAUUCAUGUCAACCCAAAGACUUGGACAAGAGUGUUCAUAGAAGCUUUACUCAUAAUAGCCAGAAACAGGAAACAACAAGAUUUCUUGACAGGCACCUGGGUGGCUCAGUUGGUUGAGUCUCUGACUCUUGAUUUCGGCUCAGUGUGAAAGGUGAUCUGCGGUGCGACACAGGACUGGACAUCUAGCACAGUGACACCAGAGCCCCAAACUCCUGCAAAUAUCUGAACAGUUGUGCAAAGAUUGUUAAAACUCUUUGAAAAUGCCUACGUUUGUGAACAGUUCUUCUCAAUUAUUGAAGUCAAGGCUACCAGUCAAGGCUGAAUUCCGUGCUCACGUGGAAACUUGGUACAAGAUUUAAACAGUGAUGUGCUAAAGAAAAAGUCGCAGGUUUCUGGUUCCAAAACAAGAGUUAACAAAUUGUGAAAGAAAAUGUUAAAAGUAAAAUAUUUCUAUUUUAUGUUUUUUUUUUCCAAUUUUGAAUUUAAGUUACCAUUGUCAAUAUCAUGUGUAUGCAUUAUGUGGUAUGGUUGUAAUCCUGGUUCAGAAAAAUAAAGUUUGAUUAUGCUCCUGGCA